RNAcentral lists this ribosomal RNA (383 nucleotides) under uncultured eukaryote. RNAcentral's name for it is "partial 18S ribosomal RNA". It matches the Rfam family "Eukaryotic small subunit ribosomal RNA", at positions 592 to 976 of the family's 1831-position model. The record is from RNAcentral.
CAAUAGCGUAUAUUAAAGUUGUUGCAGUUAAAAAGCUCGUAGUUGGAUUUCUGGUGGGAGCGAUCGGUCUGGCGCUUAGCGCGAGUACUUGCAUCGUCUCCGGCCAUCCUUGGGGAGAGUCUGUCUGGCAUUAGGUUGUCGGGCAGAGGAUCCUCAUCGUUUACUGUGAAAAAAUUAGAGUGUUCAAAGCAGGCUUAUGCCGUUGAAUAUAUUAGCAUGGAAUAAUAAGACAGGACUUUGGUACUAUUUUGUUGGUUUGCGCACCAAAGUAAUGAUUAAUAGGGACAGUUGGGGGUAUUCGUAUUCCGUUGUCAGAGGUGAAAUUCUUGGAUUUACGGAAGACGAACUACUGCGAAAGCAUUUACCAAGGAUGUUUUCAUUAA